GACGUAGGGGGCUAGCGUUGCUCGGAAUCACUGGGCGUAAAGCGCACGUAGGCAGAUUGCUAAGUCAGGGGUGAAAUCCUGGAGCUCAACUCCAGAACUGCCUUUGAUACUGGCAACCUUGAGUCCGGGAGAGGUGAGUGGAACUGCGAGUGUAGAGGUGAAAUUCGUAGAUAUUCGCAAGAACACCAGUGGCGAAGGCGGCUCACUGGCCCGGUACUGACGCUGAGGUGCGAAAGCGUGGGGAGCAAACAGG
RNAcentral lists this ribosomal RNA (253 nucleotides) under uncultured bacterium. Its description in RNAcentral is "partial 16S ribosomal RNA". It matches the Rfam family "Bacterial small subunit ribosomal RNA", at positions 524 to 776 of the family's 1533-position model. The record is from RNAcentral.